GCAAAACGCGAAGAACCUUACCUGGUCUUGACAUAGUAAGAACUUUCCAGAGAUGGAUUGGUGCCUUCGGGAACUUACAUACAGGUGCUGCGUGGCUGUCGUCAGCUCGUGUCGUGAGAUGUUGGGUUAAGUCCCGCAACGAGCGCAACCCUUUUCCUUAUUUGCCAGCGGGUUAAGCCGGGAACUUUAAGGAUACUGCCAGUGACAAACUGGAGGAAGGCGGGGACGACGUCAAGUCAUCAUGGCCCUUACGACCAGGGCUACACACGUGCUACAAUGGUCGGUACAAAGGGUUGCUACCUAGCGAUAGGAUGCUAAUCUCAAAAAGCCGAUCGUAGUCCGGAUUGGAGUCUGCAACUCGACUCCAUGAAGUCGGAAUCGCUAGUAAUCGCGGAUCAGAAUGCCGCGGUGAAUACGUUCCCGGGUCUUGUACACACCG
RNAcentral lists this ribosomal RNA (439 nucleotides) under uncultured bacterium. RNAcentral's name for it is "bacterial SSU rRNA". It matches the Rfam family "Bacterial small subunit ribosomal RNA", at positions 954 to 1392 of the family's 1533-position model. The record is from RNAcentral.